UGCGUAGGCGGAAUAUUAAGUCAGUGGUGAAAUCCUGCGGCUCAACCGUAGAACUGCCAUUGAUACUGAUAUUCUUGAAUGUAGUUGAGGUAGGCGGAAUGUGUAAUGUAGCGGUGAAAUGCUUAGAUAUUACACAGAACACCGAUUGCGAAGGCAGCUCACUAAGCUAUAACUGACGCUGAGGCACGAAAGCGUGGGGAGCGAACAGGAUUAGAUACCCUGGUAGUCC
Molecule: ribosomal RNA, 229 nt
Filed under: uncultured bacterium
Lineage: Bacteria
Description: partial 16S ribosomal RNA
Rfam family: Bacterial small subunit ribosomal RNA
Source: RNAcentral